AAUAACGACACAGUAAUAAUAUGAGACCUUUAUUGUUUUGCAGUAAGUAUGUUUACCGGGUAAACUUUACCCAAAAUAAGUGCCUUAGAUGCCUGUUUCCGGUUGCCGAUUCUGUUUGUCCGCAUCUUUCAUUGCAGAAAGAGACAUAUUAAUUUUACAAGCUACAACAUUUGACGAAGAAGAAAGUCGUUUGUUCUCCUCGCCUCCCAUUCCGAAACUUUUAGCACUCCAAAUCAUGGCAUACUUCGAGUACGAUACCUGAUUUGCCCUUUGAUUUUCACUGCAACCUGCAAGCCUUUUGGUUAUACGGCCCGCAUUGGUUGCCUGAUGUGGACAUCGCGAAUUAUCGUGCUGUAGACAUUCCUUUGUGUAUCACAUUUGCAUCAUCAUUCAUUAAAGCCCGGACUACAGCGGUGGCGGAUGGUGACCUUGAUUUGCUGAUGCACUGUUAAAUGGGCGCUGUGAAAUUUGACGGCGGAGGUAAUCCUUUGCUGUAUGAAGCGCUCCGUUCUGAUGGCGGUUGCCUCGAUCGGUGCGUCAAACGCAACGAUUUGGUCGACGUUAACAAGGAAUGCCAGCCGUGUCUGGUUUUGGUUGAAACUCGUAUCAAGGGACUCAAGGGCAGUGUGCAGACAAUACGUUAAGGCAGCCAUAAGUCGGCUGUCCGUGAUGAUCUCAGCGAGGGAGGGCGGUCAGAUGAAGAUCCUGUCUGUUGAGGAAAUUCCGAAAAAUGGCGAUGGAGCGGAAUCGAACCGCUGGCUACCGAGUGAGAUCCACGUAGCACAGCCACUGUGCCAUCGCCGCUGUUGGCGAAGAUCAAGAUAUUUGUGCUUGAGCUUGAGCCAACCAGUGCGCAGCCUUCGGAGUGUAAUACUGAAAAAUGGAAAAACUUCGGAAUACUGAAAAAUGGAAAAACUAUGGAUUAAUCGGAAUAUAAUGUUAACAUUCGAUUAAUUCAAAUAUUCUUAUCGAUAAUUCACUCGAUAGAGCAGGUCCCCCAUAAAAGUUAAGAACCGCUUAAGCAGGAUUUCUAAGCUGCUUUGAUACUGUACUUUAGCCGUUAAAUAAUCAAGUCCAUCUGCUUCAUAAUCAUUUCUUAAGGAAACGCGGUGCGACUGAUUUCGUAUUUCUUCUUACAGUUGUAUAAUGCGGUACAACUGAGUACAAGUACUACGAACUAAUAACUAAUCUGAGGUUUCUGUUUCUUUGGUUUCUUCUGCUGAGAAUGUGCCGCCUUUAGUAAUGAGUAGUAAAAAUUUUAUCUGUGAUUUGUGUGGAAAAAUUUGUUUGACGGCGCAUGGGAUAGCGUCACAUCGCGACAGUGGAAAAUGCAGAGAAGCUCAAGCCCGCAACUUACGAAACAAACCCGGGCUCCCCACUGCAUCCCCUCAACCAGUUCCACACGACGAAAACUUGCUGGACAAGCUCUCUCGAUUGCGACGAACCAAUCCUAUCCUCCCGCAUGUUCCAGUAGGUGCGAGAGAUGCAUGUGCAAAUGCGUUUGCGGAACUACUGACCGCAUGCUGCGCGAAAAAUGACAUGGAAGCGUGGAGCAACUUACUCUUCUUUGCACCAAGCAUCCUGACAGCUCCUCCUACGAAGUCUGGUAGAGGCCCAUCACUCGCUACGUCGGUGAAGAAGAACUUGUCAAGUAAGCAGACAGAAGAUAUCAUCCCCUCGAAAAAGAAGCAGCCAAAGCCAAAGAUCGCAGCAGCAUUAAAGGCAAAACUGGUCAACGCCAAACUGGAAAGUGGAUCAAUCGGACGCGCGAUGAACAUUCUCGUUUCACAAGAGACCAUCGCGCCUUUAACUGACGAAGUCAUUGCGAUUUUAAAAGAAAAACAUCCAGGUCGACCCGUUGACCUGGAUGCUACGGUGCGUAACGUCGACGCGAUACCCUCUGAAGUAACACAUA
Paramacrobiotus metropolitanus is the source of this 1915-nucleotide RNA transcript. RefSeq lists it as uncharacterized. The record is from RefSeq and is a predicted model, not a curated record. The transcript has 4 exons. NCBI's taxonomy places the organism in Eukaryota, Metazoa, Tardigrada, Eutardigrada, Parachela, Macrobiotidae.